UACGGAGGGUGCGAGCGUUGUCCGGAAUCACUGGGCGUAAAGGGCGCGUAGGCGGCUUCUCAAGCGUGUGGUGAAAGCCCGGGGCUCAACCCCGGAAUUGCCUUUGAGACUGCAUCGCUAGAAUUGUGGAGAGGUAAGUGGAAUUCCGAGUGUAGAGGUGAAAUUCGUAGAUAUUCGGAAGAACACCAGUGGCGAAGGCGACUUACUGGACACAUAUUGACGCUGAGGUGCGAAAGCGUGGGGAGCAAACAGG
This 253-nucleotide ribosomal RNA is filed under the name uncultured bacterium. RNAcentral's name for it is "partial 16S ribosomal RNA". It matches the Rfam family "Bacterial small subunit ribosomal RNA", at positions 524 to 776 of the family's 1533-position model. The record is from RNAcentral.